CGUGAGUGUCACCACUCCCAACCCACUGUUUACCUACCCGUCCACCGUGCAUUCGGCAGGCAGUCCUGUGGGACAGGGCCUCGCCCCCGCGAGGGGGUGCCUGCCGCUGGCCAACCAAAAUUUCUAGCUGUUUUUGUACCAUCUGAGUCUUCCACAAAUAAACA
RNAcentral lists this unclassified non-coding RNA (164 nucleotides) under soil metagenome. Its description in RNAcentral is "partial internal transcribed spacer 1". The record is from RNAcentral.